AAUUUUGCGCAAUGGGCGAAAGCCAGAAAGAGCGACGCCGUGUGAGGGAAGAAGGCCUGCGGGUAGUAAACCUCGUUUCUCGGGGAAGGUAAUGACGGUACCUGGGGAAUAAGCCUCGGCUAACUCGUGCAAGCAGCCGCGGUAAUACGGAGGAGGCGAGCGUUGAAGGAUUCAUUGGGGUAAAGGGAGCGCAGGGGUGAGUUCGUCUGUGGGCAAUCUCCAGGCUCAACUGGGAGAGGUCUGGGGAGCUGCUCGGCUUGAGGACGGUAGAGGAGCACGGAAUUUCGGGGUAGUGGUGGAUGCGUAAGGUCAGGAGAACAGGGGUGGCGAAAGCGGGCUAUGGGCAAUCCUGACACUCAGGCUGAAAGCGGGGGAGAAAACCGGAUUAGAUACCCAGGUAUUCCACGGCCUG
RNAcentral lists this ribosomal RNA (412 nucleotides) under uncultured marine bacterium. Its description in RNAcentral is "bacterial SSU rRNA". It matches the Rfam family "Bacterial small subunit ribosomal RNA", at positions 360 to 804 of the family's 1533-position model. The record is from RNAcentral.